This 396-nucleotide ribosomal RNA is filed under the name uncultured bacterium. Its description in RNAcentral is "bacterial SSU rRNA". It matches the Rfam family "Bacterial small subunit ribosomal RNA", at positions 28 to 422 of the family's 1533-position model. The record is from RNAcentral.
GACGAACGCUGGCGGCGUGCCUAACACAUGCAAGUCGAGCGAGUGGAUCUCCUUCGGGAGUGAAGCUAGCGGCGGACGGGUGAGUAACACGUGGGCAACCUGCCUCAUAGAGGGGAAUAGCCUUUCGAAAGGAAGAUUAAUACCGCAUAAGAUUGUAGCUUCGCAUGAAGUAGCAAUUAAAGGAGCAAUCCGCUAUGAGAUGGGCCCGCGGCGCAUUAGCUAGUUGGUGAGGUAACGGCUCACCAAGGCGACGAUGCGUAGCCGACCUGAGAGGGUGAUCGGCCACAUUGGACUGAGACACGGCCCAGACUCCUACGGGAGGCAGCAGUGGGGAAUAUUGCACAAUGGGGGAAACCCUGAUGCAGCAACGCCGCGUGAGUGAUGAAGGUCUUCGGA